ACUAAGCGUACACGGUGGAUGCCCUGGCAGUCAGAGGCGAUGAAGGACGUGCUAAUCUGCGAAAAGCGUCGGUAAGGUGAUAUGAACCGUUACAGCCGGCGAUGUCCGAAUGGGGAAACCCAGUGUGAUUCGUCACACUAUCGUUAACUGAAUACAUAGGUUAACGAGGCGAACCGGGGAACUGAAACAUCUAAGUACCCGAGGAAAAGAAAUCAACCGAGAUUCCCCCAGUAGCGGCGAGCGAACGGGGAGCAGCCCAGAGUCUGAAUCAGCUUGUGUGUUAGUGGAACGGUCUGGAAAGUCCGACGGUACAGGGUGAUAGUCCCGUACACCAAAAUGCACAGGCUGUGAACUCGAAGAGUAGGGCGGGACACGUGGUAUCCUGUCUGAAUAUGGGGGGACCAUCCUCCAAGGCUAAAUACUCCUGACUGACCGAUAGUGAACCAGUACCGUGAGGGAAAGGCGAAAAGAACCCCGGCGAGGGAGUGAAAAAGAACCUGAAACCGUGUACGUACAAGCAGUGGGAGCACCUUCGGGUGUGACUGCGUACCUUUUGUAUAAUGGGUCAGCGACUUAUAUUCUGUAGCAAGGUUAACCGUAUAGGGGAGCCGCAGGGAAACCGAGUCUUAACUGGGCGUUAAGUUGCAGGGUAUAGACCCGAAACCCGGUGAUCUAGCCAUGGGCAGGUUGAAGGUUGGGUAACACUAACUGGAGGACCGAACCGACUAAUGUUGAAAAAUUAGCGGAUGACUUGUGGCUGGGGUGAAAGGCCAAUCAAACCGGGAGAUAGCUGGUUCUCCCCGAAAGCUAUUUAGGUAGCGCCUCGUGAAUUCAUCUUCGGGGGUAGAGCACUGUUUCGGCNNGGGGUCAUCCCGACUUACCAACCCGAUGCAAACUACGAAUACCGAAGAAUGUUAUCACGGGAGACACACGGCGGGUGCUAACGUCCGUCGUGAAGAGGGAAACAACCCAGACCGCCAGCUAAGGUCCCAAAGUCACAGUUAAGUGGGAAACGAUGUGGGAAGGCACAGACAGCCAGGAUGUUGGCUUAGAAGCAGCCAUCAUUUAAAGAAAGCGUAAUAGCUCACUGGUCGAGUCGGCCUGCGCGGAAGAUGUAACGGGGCUAAACUGUGCACCGAAGCUGCGGCAGCGACACUAUGUGUUGUUGGGUAGGGGAGCGUUCUGUAAGCCUGCGAAGGUGGCCUGUGAGGGUUGCUGGAGGUAUCAGAAGUGCGAAUGCUGACAUAAGUAACGAUAAUGCGGGUGAAAAGCCCGCACGCCGGAAGACCAAGGGUUCCUGUCCAACGUUAAUCGGGGCAGGGUGAGUCGACCCCUAAGGCGAGGCCGAAAGGCGUAGUCGAUGGGAAACAGGUUAAUAUUCCUGUACUUGGUGUUACUGCGAAGGGGGGACGGAGAAGGCUAUGUUAGCCGGGCGACGGUUGUCCCGGUUUAAGCAUGUAGGCGGAGGUUCCAGGUAAAUCCGGUACCUUUUUAACGCUGAGGUGUGAUGACGAGGCACUACGGUGCUGAAGUAACAAAUGCCCUGCUUCCAGGAAAAGCCUCUAAGCAUCAGGUAACAUUGAAUCGUACCCCAAACCGACACAGGUGGUCAGGUAGAGAAUACCAAGGCGCUUGAGAGAACUCGGGUGAAGGAACUAGGCAAAAUGGUGCCGUAACUUCGGGAGAAGGCACGCUGAUAUGUAGGUGAAGCCCCUGCGGGUGGAGCUGAAAUCAGUCGAAGAUACCAGCUGGCUGCAACUGUUUAUUAAAAACACAGCACUGUGCAAACACGAAAGUGGACGUAUACGGUGUGACGCCUGCCCGGUGCCGGAAGGUUAAUUGAUGGGGUUAUCCGUAAGGAGAAGCUCUUGAUCGAAGCCCCGGUAAACGGCGGCCGUAACUAUAACGGUCCUAAGGUAGCGAAAUUCCUUGUCGGGUAAGUUCCGACCUGCACGAAUGGCGUAAUGAUGGCCAGGCUGUCUCCACCCGAGACUCAGUGAAAUUGAACUCGCUGUGAAGAUGCAGUGUACCCGCGGCAAGACGGAAAGACCCCGUGAACCUUUACUAUAGCUUGACACUGAACAUUGAGCCUUGAUGUGUAGGAUAGGUGGGAGGCUUUGAAGCGUGGACGCCAGUCUGCGUGGAGCCAACCUUGAAAUACCACCCUUUAAUGUUUGAUGUUCUAACGUUGGCCCCUGAUCGGGGUUGCGGACAGUGUCUGGUGGGUAGUUUGACUGGGGCGGUCUCCUCCCAAAGAGUAACGGAGGAGCACGAAGGUUAGCUAAUCCUGGUCGGACAUCAGGAGGUUAGUGCAAUGGCAUAAGCUAGCUUGACUGCGAGCGUGACGGCGCGAGCAGGUGCGAAAGCAGGUCAUAGUGAUCCGGUGGUUCUGAAUGGAAGGGCCAUCGCUCAACGGAUAAAAGGUACUCCGGGGAUAACAGGCUGAUACCGCCCAAGAGUUCAUAUCGACGGCGGUGUUUGGCACCUCGAUGUCGGCUCAUCACAUCCUGGGGCUGAAGUAGGUCCCAAGGGUAUGGCUGUUCGCCAUUUAAAGUGGUACGCGAGCUGGGUUUAGAACGUCGUGAGACAGUUCGGUCCCUAUCUGCCGUGGGCGCUGGAGAAUUGAGGGGGGCUGCUCCUAGUACGAGAGGACCGGAGUGGACGCAUCACUGGUGUUCGGGUUGUCAUGCCAAUGGCAUUGCCCGGUAGCUAAAUGCGGAAGAGAUAAGUGCUGAAAGCAUCUAAGCACGAAACUUGCCCCGAGAUGAGUUCUCCCUGAGACUUUAAGUCUCCUGAAGGAACGUUAAAGACGAUGACGUUGAUAGGUCGGGUGUGUAAGCGUAGCGAUACGUUGAGCUAACCGAUACUAAUGAACCGUGAGGCUUAACC
This 2889-nucleotide ribosomal RNA is filed under the name Klebsiella aerogenes. RNAcentral's name for it is "bacterial LSU rRNA". It matches the Rfam family "Bacterial large subunit ribosomal RNA". The record is from RNAcentral. Lineage: Bacteria; Pseudomonadati; Pseudomonadota; Gammaproteobacteria; Enterobacterales; Enterobacteriaceae.